Molecule: ribosomal RNA, 281 nt
Filed under: uncultured Eubacteriales bacterium
Lineage: Bacteria; Bacillati; Bacillota; Clostridia; Eubacteriales
Description: uncultured Clostridiales bacterium partial 16S ribosomal RNA
Rfam family: Bacterial small subunit ribosomal RNA (bases 44-281)
Source: RNAcentral
UGCUUUGAUGAAGUUUUCGGAUGGAUUUAAACAGCUUAGUGGCGGACGGGUGAGUAACGCGUGGGUAACCUGCCUCACACUGGGGGAUAACAGUUAGAAAUAGCUGCUAAUACCGCAUAAGCGCACGGUUCCGCAUGGAACAGUGUGAAAAACUCCGGUGGUGUGAGAUGGAUCCGCGUCUGAUUAGCCAGUUGGCGGGGUAACGGCCCACCAAAGCGACGAUCAGUAGCCGGCCUGAGAGGUUUUCCCCCACACUGGUACUGAGACACGGACCAGACUCC